AACGCACACUGCGCCCCUUGGUAUUCCGGGGGGCAUGCCCGUUCGAGCGUCAUUACACCAAUCAAGCCUGGCUUGGUAUUGGGCCACGGGGGCGACCCGGGCCUCAAAGUCUUUCGGCUGGACGUCUCCAAUCUCAGCGUCGUGGUUAUUCAACUCGCUGCCGAGAGGGGGGGUCCGCGCCGGUAAACUCUUUCACCGGUUGACCUCGGAUCGGGUAGGAAUACCCGCUGAACUUAA
RNAcentral lists this unclassified non-coding RNA (237 nucleotides) under Dicranidion sp. RNAcentral's name for it is "partial contains 5.8S ribosomal RNA, internal transcribed spacer 2, and large subunit ribosomal RNA". The record is from RNAcentral. Lineage: Eukaryota; Fungi; Ascomycota; Orbiliomycetes; Orbiliales; Orbiliaceae.